This 288-nucleotide ribosomal RNA is filed under the name uncultured bacterium. RNAcentral describes it as "partial 16S ribosomal RNA". It matches the Rfam family "Bacterial small subunit ribosomal RNA", at positions 28 to 334 of the family's 1533-position model. The record is from RNAcentral.
GAUGAACGCUAGCGACAGGCUUAACACAUGCAAGUCGAACGGUAUGUGGCAACACAUAGAGUGGCGAACGGGUGAGUAACACGUGGGAACGUAUCUUUUGCAGGGGGAUAACUGACCGAAAGGACAGCUAAUACCGCAUAAGUCCGGGAGGAGAAAGGUGCAAAAGCAUCGGCAGAAGAGCGGCCCGCGGUCCAUCAGCUAGUUGGUGAGGUAAGGGCUUACCAAGGCGACGACGGAUAGCCGGCGUGAGAGCGUGGCCGGCCACAAGGACACUGAGAUACGGGUCCU